GAUGAACGCUGGCGGCGUGCUUAACACAUGCAAGUCGAACGAUGAAGCCCAGCUUGCUGGGUGGAUUAGUGGCGAACGGGUGAGUAACACGUGAGUAACCUGCCCUUAACUCUGGGAUAAGCCUGGGAAACUGGGUCUAAUACCGGAUAGGAGCGUCCACCGCAUGGUGUGUGUUGGAAAGAUUUAUCGGUUUUGGAUGGACUCGCGGCCUAUCAGCUUGUUGGUGAGGUAAUGGCUCACCAAGGCGACGACGGGUAGCCGGCCUGAGAGGGUGACCGGCCACACUGGGACUGAGACACGGCCCAGACUCCUACGGGAGGCAGCAGUGGGGAAUAUUGCACAAUGGGCGCAAGCCUGAUGCAGCGACGCCGCGUGAGGGAUGACGGCCUUCGGGUUGUAAACCUCUUUCAGUAGGGAAGAAGCGAAAGUGACGGUACCUGCAGAAGAAGCACCGGCUAACUACGUG
RNAcentral lists this ribosomal RNA (466 nucleotides) under uncultured bacterium. RNAcentral describes it as "partial 16S ribosomal RNA". It matches the Rfam family "Bacterial small subunit ribosomal RNA", at positions 28 to 507 of the family's 1533-position model. The record is from RNAcentral.